Long non-coding RNA from Thamnophis elegans (Western terrestrial garter snake), 5115 nucleotides. RefSeq lists it as uncharacterized. The transcript is spliced from 3 exons. The record is from RefSeq and is a predicted model, not a curated record. Lineage: Eukaryota; Metazoa; Chordata; Lepidosauria; Squamata; Natricidae.
CUCGUUAUAUUACUUUGAAAACAUACAUGGCUUAAAUCAGCAUUGUUCAAACGUCAAAACUUUUAAGAUGUGUGGAUUUCAACUCCCAGAAUUCCUUUGGACUCCAAUUAUUAAACAAACGGGGGAAAAAAUCUAUGCAAGAACUACAGCUAUUACAAAAAAUUUAUAUGCAUUUCUCUGUUCUGUUCUGUGGUUCGUCGACCGUUAAUAGGGGGCGGAGAGAGCGCCAUCCGUAGCUGGUACAGUCCUUAGUCUUCUUUCGCUUAUUGCAGAGGAAAGGGAAGGAGGAGUCGCACAACUCUCCACGUGCAAGUUUAGAGGAAAGGGCCAAGGGUCUUCUUCCCCUUUAACUUCUCGCCUUUGCACCCCCGCCGCCCUGGCAAUGGUACGGCCUGGAGCAAAGCAUAAAGGAAACCGAAGGCAGAGGAGGCUGUCCUUCUCUUUCUGGCGCGCGGGAGGGCAGCGGGGUUGUCUCGGCGGUUAUGGAGGUAAGCAAAGCGGGCGAGGAAAGAUAUGCAAGCAGAGAUGAGGCGGGCAACCUGCAUUGGCCACCCAACUGGUGGAGCCUGAGAGAAGAUGGAGAGGAGAGCGCGUAGAGCAAGACUGUCUUUAGGGCCGAGGAAAGCUAAGAAACCUCUCUGGUAACCUUGCACUGCAACUUCUGGCGCCUCGGGAUCGGGGAAAGGCGGCUUGCACACAUCGCCCCCCCCCCCGCUGCCGCUUGAACCGCUCGAUGCAGCGUGCCAUUAAAUCUUAAAUCGGCGCAAAAUGAGAAGGAAAAAAAUUCGGGCGGGCAGAUCCUGAUGUAGAGAAAAAAACCUGCUUCCGUUUCUCCAAGGCAGAGGUGUCAAACCAUGGUUAUUUUAACACUUGUGGACUUCAACUUCCAGAGUUAAAGUGGCCAAGAUUGGAGACCACCCUGCUCUAAAGCAACGAAACGCCCCGGGCUAGAAGCGCGCGAAAGCCUUGGCGGCUCCCUGGACAGAAGUGGGAGCGCGAGGACAACUUCCGGCGCCCCUCGUGACGCUGUGCUGGAAAGGCGCGUGCGUGGCCGCCGAUUGUGAAGCGCGAGACCCGUAGAAGCACGUGAUGUUAGCAGAAAAAGCUGCCAUUUUGAAUGAAAACAAUUCUUAGGAUGCAGAAGCCCUCCAGGAUGUUUGGAUCACACUUGGACCACAAUCCAUACUUUCAUGCCAUGCUCAUCCAUCCAUCCUUUUUCAUGGAUGUGCACAACAACACCUCUUGGAAUCACUUCUUUUGGGAAGGUUUUCCUUUUAAAUAUUAAUAUUGAUGCUAAUUUGGUGCCAUCUGCACAGCAGGACAACACAAGUGUGUAAUGUGUCUUCUCAUGUCCUGUAGUUUUUACAGUUAUGCUUUUGGCCCCUUUGACAUCAACAAUCCUGUUUGAUGGCACAUCAAAAGUUAGUGGGACUUCAUCCGUAUUCCCGAUCUGGCCAAUCUCAAAAUUAUUUCUGGAAUCUAUCACAAAAGUGUGAAAAGACAGAAUCUUAGCCUCAUACUUUUUUGGCAUUCUUUGCGCAAUUCUAGUUUUGGUGCGCAUAGCAAGGUCACAUCGCCUCAUAAAUCUGAAGCACCACGAUGGUGUUCCACUAAAAUCCUGAAUGCCUUUCCGUGUAGCAAUGCAUUUGGCUUCAUACAUCACCAUUUUUGUGGUGACUGCGAAACCACUGUUCUGAUGACUUGUGAUCCAGUCUCUUGUUUCCUCCUCUAACUGUGGCCACUUUGCAGGAAGUCCACAAAAGUUGUGCUUGCUUUUAUCUUUUACAGCCUAUCCACCUGUUUCUUCUACUCUCAUUAUCUUUUCAGUUGGAGGUGGUCCAAAAUGUUUCUCUGCUGCUCUGUUUCCAUGUUCCUCGGCAUAUUUCAAGACUUCCAGCUUGAAAGAGAUUGUAUAUGCCUGCCUUUUUGGCUUUGACAUUUUUCUGCAAGAAAGAACAAUAAUGUGUCAUUUAUAACAGUACAGUGCACUGUAGCUGAAACUACAUUCAUACACGCAUUAGAUCAUUACACCCGCCCCCUAAAUAAUAUGCCUUAGCCUUAACCCUAACCCCAACCUGCAAACAGGCAAUAAGCCUUAAACCUUAAAACAAUAAGCCAAACCCAUUACAAAAGUACUGACAGCUUUCAGACCUGUGGACUUCAACUCACAGAAUUCCUCCUCCAGUCAUGUUAUCUCAGGAUUUCUGGAACUUACCGGUAAAGUCCACAAGUUUUACAGCUGCCACGUUUGAAGACCCUUGCCAACCCUAACCAGUGCUUACCUGUGUGGUGUCCCAGGAGCAGGUGGCAGGCUUCGCCAGGCAGCAUUGUCUGGGGCGUCAGCCAGGAAGCAGGUGAGGCAGGUAGCUUAUCCAGGCAGCGGUGGGGCAGUGGCUUUGAUUUUGCCCGGGAGCAGGUCAAACUCCUUGGGCAGCAGCGGGUUGGUGGCGGUGGCAGCUUUAAAUUUUGCCCAGGAGCAGGUCAGGCUCCUUGGGCAGUAGCAAGGUGGUGGCAGCGGUUUUAAAUUUUGCCCCAGAGCAGGUGAGACUCCUCGGGCAGUAGCGAGGUAGCGCGGGGCUCCUGGGGCAGCAGUGAGGCAGCGGUGGCUUUAAAUUUUGCCCAGGAGCAGUGGAGCAGCUCGGGUGGUAGGUCAUCCUACCUACUUUUGCCAUCGAUUGCCGCCACCAUACCUCUCACUCCUCCCAUCAGGUGUGGCUCAUGCUACAUUCGGAGUAUAAGACCCACCCAGAUUUUCAGCCUCUUUUUGGAAAGAAAAAGGUGUGUCUUAUACUCCGAAAAAUACAGUACCUUUUUGUGCUAUUUGAGACAAUGAUAUUAAAAUAUGCAUGGGAUACUGUCAGGAUACAGUUUUGUUGACUUUCAGGUAUUCUGCUUAAAAACGUUUUACUUUAAUGCGGUGCUUCUUCUAUAUUGCUGGCUUUACCUAUAGCGCACUAGUUGUAGUUCUAGACAAUCUGCAAACAUGCCAUUGAAAUCUGCAGAACUGCCAUAUAACAGUGGCAUCAUUUUGCUGCAUUUUUGUAAGCUUAAGAGUCUUUCCAAUCAGCUGAAUUUAGCUUUACAAAUUCUCCGUCAGUUCUUUCUUAGCUUUAACCAUUUCUGCCUACCUAUUUCCUUGCCUCUGUCUUUCUCAUUUUGGUCUUCCAUUGCAAAUAUAAUCCUUUUCUAAACAUGCACACACUCCCUAUGCUUCAAGUAACAUCACAAAUUUUCUUUUUCCAUCAAUCUAUGCAUGUAUCAUGCUUGGGAUGGAAUAUGCAGCAAAGCCUCCUAUGAGACUAUUUGGUUAAAACUGCUGUUACAUUUGCCCUUUAGGAAGACAAGAAAAAGAAUCUAGCAGACAACAAAAGGUGACUAAAUUAUGCAGCAAGACUGUGAAAGAUGGAAUCUGAGUCUUUGGAAGUUGUUGAGCUAAAGCUUCCAGCAUCUCUCAUUAUUGUAUUUUGCUGUGCUGGAAUUUGUAAUUCAGCAGCAUUUUGAGAGUCACUGAUUCCCCAUUCUUACUCUUUACUUUACUCAUUCUUACUUUAGCUUGUGAAGGAAGCAGAUGGCCUUUGGUUUCAGCUACUCCUGCAGACAUAACACCAGCAUCUUUGAGUUCAUUGCUGCAUUCUGCCAUUGUUUCUACUGACAUAGACAAGCAGAAUUAGGACUUGGUGAGAACAAGUAUCUUACUGCAGAGGACAACUAAAAGGAAAAUGUGGCAACCUUGUGGGACAAGGGCAGUGUGUAUAUACAUAUACACACAUACUAGUCAGUGAUGGUUCCGGAUCCCAUCGCAACCGGUACACUGCGAUGGGGCCGGAUGUACAUGCAUGCUGCGCACGCAUGCACACCCACAACCCUGUGAUGCUGCAGCUGCUCGGUGGAGUGUUGCGCAGAAGCUGUACACUCGGUGCACAUGCGCAAAUGACCCAGUUGGCUCAAAUGCAGGUAAGGAACGCGGGCAGGCCCUUCAAAGCACAGUUCCGUUAAUGGUGCCUGCUGCUCCCAGCAGGCACCAGUACACCCAUACUGGGACGUACCUAUCGGAACCCACCACCAAUACUAGUAAUCCUUGCCAUGCUUUAGUGAUUGACUUGUGGGGGUUUUUUUGGGGGGGGGAUAUUGAUUCAAACACCAAUGUGAUGCAUUAUCUUUAACUGGAAUCAAGUUCAAAAUUGAUCUCAAUACAAUAAUACUUAAACAAACCGCUUAUUUAUCUACUGGUUAUUUUCAAUAAAUAUUUUGGAUGCUGCUGAGUAAAUGCAUAUUUUUUCCUGUUCCCUGUAGUUGUAGAAUGACUGAACCAGAAAGUAAAAGAGAGAAGAUGGACUUUUUGUAUAAAUACUGGCAAAAGAACCAUUGUUCUGAGGCAGCUUCACAGCAACUCUGCCCUAGACCUACAACACAAUGCAAGAAGAGUACUGUGGCAUCUUUUAAACCUACAAAUUCAUUACCCAAGGGGAAGGCGGGGAAACUUGAAAAUGGCAUCCGGUUGAAAGUGGUAUCCAACCAAAACUCUGGACAUGCUACGUCAUUGGCACCUUUCAUCAUAAUCAAACGCUCCCAAAUUGAAGGAGGGGACACCACCUACUCAGUAAUAUAUUCCCUGGGACCAAAUUUACAUGCAAAGAGAAAACAGACAAUAGACUAUCAUUCCUCCAUGUCAACAUAAGGAGACUAGACAACAGAGCAUUAGAAACCUGUGUCUACUGCAAACCUAUACACAUAGACUACAUCCUCCCAACCACCCCAUCUCACACAAAAGAAACUGUUCAGACCCUGUUCAGAAGGGCCAGGACACACUGCAGCACCUCAAUACUAAAAAGCAGAAGUGAAACAGCUGAUAGGUGUCUUUCUUUCUAAUGGCUAUCCAAAAAACUUCACAUUCCAGCAGCCACAGCACAUAGCCAAUUGUUUUGGCUGUGGUUUUAAAACUGAUUGAUGAAAAAAGUAUACCAGGUUUCAGCACUGAACAAUUUUGGCUAUUGGACUUGGUGGCCUUCUAUAAUUUAAAAGGUUUCUAUGAAUAUGGCUACUUUAGGUUGCAGUACUGUUUAUAAAACCACUUUUGAUUGCACUAAGGAUUCUGAAAUAAACUAUUUUAUUUUA